Non-coding RNA from Picea glauca (white spruce), 123 nucleotides. The record is from Rfam. NCBI's taxonomy places the organism in Eukaryota, Viridiplantae, Streptophyta, Pinopsida, Pinales, Pinaceae.
AUUUACAUGCCUACAACAUAACUUUAAUGCACCAUAUCCCAUUAAAACUCUGUAGUUAAGCGCGCUUGGGCUAGAGUAGUACUAGGAUGGGUGACCGCCCGAGAAAUCCUAUUGUUUUAAAUU